This 414-nucleotide long non-coding RNA is filed under the name Salmo salar (Atlantic salmon). RNAcentral describes it as "lncRNA (ENSSSAG00000089244.1)". The record is from RNAcentral. Lineage: Eukaryota; Metazoa; Chordata; Actinopteri; Salmoniformes; Salmonidae.
AAUUUUUUUAACUUUCAGUUUCACUUACUUUUCUAGCAAAUGCAGCUGGCUAGUUUAGUUACUCAAACACCCGGCUCAAACAGAGGGAUGCUAUGUUAGCUAGCUGUCUUUGACUAUCCAACACAACACUGAAACUCUUCCAAGUCAAGGGCUGGCCCACGUCGGGCGAAAUGUAAGGAAAAUGGCGCGGGACAGCUUCAAGAAAACAGUCGCUUUCAAACUAGGGAUUUUCUGGCUAAUUGAGGGACAGGCCGAGAUAUGUGGUGGCAAUCGAUAACCCUCACAAUUAGUUCCUCUUCGGGGGGGAUGUGGUCCCCGGCACAGCUGGACAGGAGCAGCGUGGAGCACCGUGGAGCACAGUGUGCCCCUGCAUCCUGCCAACCACAUGUCCUGACGUUAGUCACCUCCUCCUGG